RNAcentral lists this long non-coding RNA (750 nucleotides) under Callithrix jacchus (white-tufted-ear marmoset). RNAcentral's name for it is "lncRNA (ENSCJAG00000083296.1)". The record is from RNAcentral. Lineage: Eukaryota; Metazoa; Chordata; Mammalia; Primates; Cebidae.
GGCGAGUUUCUAAACCCAAGGAAGCUCCCAUGAACUCUGUGAGGUUCCCCUAGAUCCAGCAAGAGCCCAACGGGCUGACAGCUGCUCUCACCAGCGGCAGGGAUUUAUGUGCCACAUUUCAAAGGACAUGCAUUUUAAGGAUUUCUUGCUGUGUGAGAAACCAUUGGGGCAAAAUGGAGUAGAAGAAAAGUACACCUGAUUGUAAUUAAUGCUGACAGUAAUCUCCAGCUUUCAUUCUGAAAACAGCCAGAUGGGAAAGUUGGAACUGUUAAUAAUAGAAAACGUUGCCAUCCGCAGUUCCUGGAGUCAUAACUCUUUAAAGGCUGUUUGGAUUCCAGAUCUCUACAGACCAGCCCAAGCCAGAUGCUCCUCAGACUCUGCACUGCCAUGGGCCAUGGCCUUAGCAAGGAAGAGCCCGAGAACGGAGUGAGAUCUCAGCCCAAAGAAGGUUUAAGAAGGUACCUUGGAGAGGGACGUCAUUCUCAAUGAGUAUGCCAUUUUCCACAGGCCGGGUCAAAUGUAACCCAGCAGAUGGAAGGGUACUGGGAAGUAGGAGGCUGGGGGACUUCACUCUUAUUUGGGGAUGGGAAGGAAGACAAAGAGAGAGCUUCUUAAAAGUUGCCUCUCCCAGAAGCAGCAGCCAUGAAGUCAUCCCUCUUUCUCUGUGAGUAUUUGCAACUUUGCAGAGCUAGCUGAGGCAUCUACCCUGCUCCUGGGCACCCAGGGAGCCUGCCAUCUGUGAGGGGAGCU